AUGGGUUACCCAAGAAAGCAUGGUAAUGUAGCACUGCUAAGGGGCUCCAGCUUCUUCCUGCUCAUAGGAAAGCAAAAGAAGUACCCACAAUUCAUAGGGAUUCACUUGCAUGGUUCAGAUGGACACAUUCCACUCUGCAGACUGUCCGCCAGAGGAGCGUUUAAGUGUUAUUCACUAUGUACUAUUAGUGGUAAACAGGAUCAUGCAGAAGGUGUCCUAGCAUGGGAGUAACUUAUCUCUAGAAGGAAGAUGUAUAACCAGACCCAUCCUGCAACACAAACCCUAGCUGGUCGACAGAGAGGGUCAGUAUAAGCAGAGGUGGCAUUCAAGGGGAGGGACUUCUUUGACCUGAAUGCUGCCUCUGACCUGUCCGAGUCCUGUUCGUAGCAGCACUGCACAAGGUCUUCUGCAAGAAUUUGUAAGGCUGUGACCAAUUUGGUGUCCAUCUGUGCAUCAUUGGUGUGUGGCAGCACUGCUUGUGGCCUCAGCAGUGAUCUCCUGCAAAGUCUGUCCACAUGAAUUUAGAUGUCCCUGGGCUUGAAAAAUAACUGAGCUACUGUUGAUCCCACUACAAAGUUCUUUAAUGGCAAUUUUUCAGAGCAUGCUGAGUAGUUGCACAAGAGGAUCUACAGUAUGCCUGCCUGCCUGCCUGCCUGCUUUCCCUGUUACCCAUACAUUCUUUCAUCUCACCUUAAGCCUCUGUUUAUUUUGUUUGGAGCAGAAUACUUCCAUCUUAAACACUUACUGAAAAAUAAAAUAAAAUAAUAAAAUAAAAUGUUAGCUGGA
This 786-nucleotide long non-coding RNA is filed under the name Anas platyrhynchos platyrhynchos (common mallard). Its description in RNAcentral is "lncRNA (ENSAPLG00000027586.1)". The record is from RNAcentral. Lineage: Eukaryota; Metazoa; Chordata; Aves; Anseriformes; Anatidae.